Molecule: ribosomal RNA, 507 nt
Filed under: uncultured bacterium
Lineage: Bacteria
Description: partial 16S ribosomal RNA
Rfam family: Bacterial small subunit ribosomal RNA
Source: RNAcentral
GACGAACGCUGGCGGCGUGCCUAAUACAUGCAAGUCGAACGCAUUCUCUUUCAUCGUUGUUUGCUACACAGAGAGAAAGUGAGUAGCGAACGGGUGGGUAACCCGUGCGUAACUUCCCCAUCAGCGGGGGCUGACAAUUGGAAACAGGUGCUAAUACCGCAUAAUUCAAUUUACCGCAUGGUAGCUGGAUGCAAGGCGCUUUUGCGUCACUGAUGGAUGGACCCGCGGUGCAUUAGCGAGUUGGUGGGGUAACGGCCUCCCAAGGCUGGGAUGCAUAGCCGGACUGGGAGGGUGAGCGGCCACACUGAGACUGAGACACGGCCCAGACCCCUACGGGAGGCAGCAGUAGCGGAUCUUCGGCUAUGGACGCAAGUCUGACCGAGAAACGCCGAGGUAGUGAAGAAGGUGAUCGGAUUGUAAAUCUCUGUCUUUAGAGAAGAACAAGGAUGGGGGUGGAAAGGUCAUCCCUUGACGGUAUCGAACCAGAAAGCCAUGGCUAACUACGUG